AUACGGGAGGCAGCAGUAAGGAAUAUUGGGCAAUGGACGCAAGUCUGACCCAGCCAUGCCGCGUGAAGGAUGAAUGUCCUAUGGAUUGUAAACUUCUUUUGUGCAAGAAAAACCCCUCGGUUUCGUACCGGGGCUGAUUGUAUUGCACGAAUAAGCAUCGGCUAACUCCGUGCAGCAGCCGCGGUAAUACGGAGGAUGCAAGCGUUAUCCGGAUUCAUUGGGUUUAAAGGGUGCGCAGGCGGAAUGAUAAGUCAGUGGUGAAAUCUCCCGGCUCAACCGGGAAACUGCCAUUGAUACUGCCAUUCUUGAGUACAGUUGAAGUGGGCGGAAUGUGUCAUGUAGCGGUGAAAUGCUUAGAUAUGACACAGAACACCGAUAGCGAAGGCAGCUCACUAAGCUGUAACUGACGCUCAUGCACGAAAGCGUGGGGAUCAAACUGGAUUAGAUACCCUAGUAC
RNAcentral lists this ribosomal RNA (457 nucleotides) under uncultured bacterium. RNAcentral's name for it is "bacterial SSU rRNA". It matches the Rfam family "Bacterial small subunit ribosomal RNA", at positions 339 to 793 of the family's 1533-position model. The record is from RNAcentral.